UGGGGUGUAGCCAAGCGGUAAGGCAACGGACUCUGACUCCGUCAUGCGUAGGUUCGAAUCCUACCACCCCAGCCA
Molecule: transfer RNA, 75 nt
Filed under: Gammaproteobacteria bacterium
Lineage: Bacteria; Pseudomonadati; Pseudomonadota; Gammaproteobacteria
Also listed under: 4 other names
Description: tRNA-Gln
Rfam family: tRNA
About the family: Transfer RNA (tRNA) molecules are approximately 80 nucleotides in length. Their secondary structure includes four short double-helical elements and three loops (D, anti-codon, and T loops). Further hydrogen bonds mediate the characteristic L-shaped molecular structure. tRNAs have two regions of fundamental functional importance: the anti-codon, which is responsible for specific mRNA codon recognition, and the 3' end, to which the tRNAs corresponding amino acid is attached (by aminoacyl-tRNA synthetases). tRNAs cope with the degeneracy of the genetic code in two manners: having more than one tRNA (with a specific anti-codon) for a particular amino acid; and 'wobble' base-pairing, i.e. permitting non-standard base-pairing at the 3rd anti-codon position.
Source: RNAcentral